GACGAACGCUGGCGGCGUGCCUAAUACAUGCAAGUAGAACGCAGUUGCGAACGGGUGAGUAACGCGUAGGUAACUGCCUGGUAGCGGGGGAUAACUAUUGGAAACGCUAGCUAAUACCGCAUACUACCAGAUGGACCUGCGUUGUAUUAGCUAGUUGGUGAGGUAACGGCUCACCAAGGCAACGAUACAUAGCCGAGCUUGGAGGGUGAUCGGCCACACUGGGACUGAGACACGGCCCAGACGCCUACGGGAGGCAGCAGGAGGGAAUCUUCGGCAAUGGGGGGAACCCUGACCGAGAAACGGCGCGUGAGUGAAGAAGGUUUUCGGAUCGUAAAGCUCUGUUGUUAAGGGAGCGGUACUUAACCAGAAAGGGACGGCUAACUACGUGCCAGCAGCCGCGGUAAUUC
This 407-nucleotide ribosomal RNA is filed under the name uncultured bacterium. Its description in RNAcentral is "partial 16S ribosomal RNA". It matches the Rfam family "Bacterial small subunit ribosomal RNA", at positions 28 to 526 of the family's 1533-position model. The record is from RNAcentral.